RNAcentral lists this transfer RNA (81 nucleotides) under Candidatus Shapirobacteria bacterium CG09_land_8_20_14_0_10_47_13. Its description in RNAcentral is "tRNA-Leu". It matches the Rfam family "tRNA". From Rfam's summary of the family: Transfer RNA (tRNA) molecules are approximately 80 nucleotides in length. Their secondary structure includes four short double-helical elements and three loops (D, anti-codon, and T loops). Further hydrogen bonds mediate the characteristic L-shaped molecular structure. tRNAs have two regions of fundamental functional importance: the anti-codon, which is responsible for specific mRNA codon recognition, and the 3' end, to which the tRNAs corresponding amino acid is attached (by aminoacyl-tRNA synthetases). tRNAs cope with the degeneracy of the genetic code in two manners: having more than one tRNA (with a specific anti-codon) for a particular amino acid; and 'wobble' base-pairing, i.e. permitting non-standard base-pairing at the 3rd anti-codon position. Lineage: Bacteria; Candidatus Shapironibacteriota. The record is from RNAcentral.
GCGGACGUGGUGGAAUGGUAUACACGCUAGCCCAAGGAGCUAGUCCCGCAAGGGGUGGAGGUUCGAGUCCUCUCGUCCGCA